UCAAAUCUUCAUUUUAUGCUGGUGUCUUCC
RNAcentral lists this non-coding RNA (30 nucleotides) under Mus musculus (house mouse). Lineage: Eukaryota; Metazoa; Chordata; Mammalia; Rodentia; Muridae. The record is from RNAcentral.